This 497-nucleotide ribosomal RNA is filed under the name uncultured bacterium. RNAcentral's name for it is "partial 16S ribosomal RNA". It matches the Rfam family "Bacterial small subunit ribosomal RNA", at positions 28 to 507 of the family's 1533-position model. The record is from RNAcentral.
GAUGAACGCUGGCGGCGUGCCUAAUACAUGCAAGUCGAGCGAACAGAUGAGGAGCUUGCUCCUCUGACGUUAGCGGCGGACGGGUGAGUAACACGUGGAUAACCUACCUAUAAGACUGGGAUAACUUCGGGAAACCGGAGCUAAUACCGGAUAAUAUAUUGAACCGCAUGGUUCAAUAGUGAAAGACGGUUUUGCUGGCACUUAUAGAUGGAUCCGCGCCGCAUUAGCUAGUUGGUAAGGUAACGGCUUACCAAGGCAAGGAUGCGUAACCGACCUGAGAGGGUGGUCGGCCACCCGGGAAGUGAGACACGGUCCAGAGGCCUACGGGAGGCAGCAGUAGGGAAUCGGCCGCAAUGGGCGGAAGCCUGACGGAGCAACGCCGAGUGAGUGAUGAAGGUCUUCGGAUCGGAAAAAUCUGCUAUGAGGGAAGAACAAAUUUGUAAGUAACUAUGCACGUCUUGACGGUAACUAAUCAGAAAGCCACGGCUAACUACGUG